GUGCCUGUGGCUCAAAGGGGUAGGGCGCUGGCCCCAUAUGCCAGAGAUGGUGGGUUCAAACCCAGCCUGGCAAA
RNAcentral lists this transfer RNA (74 nucleotides) under Otolemur garnettii (small-eared galago). It matches the Rfam family "tRNA". Rfam says of the family: Transfer RNA (tRNA) molecules are approximately 80 nucleotides in length. Their secondary structure includes four short double-helical elements and three loops (D, anti-codon, and T loops). Lineage: Eukaryota; Metazoa; Chordata; Mammalia; Primates; Galagidae. The record is from Rfam by way of RNAcentral.